GUGGACCAGGGCGCCCGGUUCCUUGGCGAGCGCAGUUAGGCUCUG
RNAcentral lists this non-coding RNA (45 nucleotides) under Prorocentrum micans. Lineage: Eukaryota; Dinophyceae; Prorocentrales; Prorocentraceae. The record is from RNAcentral.